Molecule: unclassified non-coding RNA, 4508 nt
Filed under: Daphnia magna
Lineage: Eukaryota; Metazoa; Arthropoda; Branchiopoda; Diplostraca; Daphniidae
Description: protein single-minded, transcript variant X5
Source: RNAcentral
AACAGUGAGAGAGAGGUAACUGUUAAGUGGCUCUUACCUGAGUCGGGAACUCUCCAGUCGACCGGGCUGCUCCGUCCGAGACGGAACCUCCCCCAACCCCGUCGUACCGUGAACUACAUAUUUUUUUUUCUUUUUUUUUUUCCAAAGUUUUGUUACCCCAAGUGUCUAACUCGUUCCCUCUCGUGUUUGUCUAUUGGCGAAUUACAAAAGACCGUGCACCGAUUUGAUUUCACGCGAUUUUGUUUGUUUGUUUUGUUUUCAAACGCGGAUCUUGGCCAGGGGGAAAUAAAGUUGAACCCUGGUGAAUAAUAAUUUUUAAAAGAAUCACGUGUUAUUCUUCUAUUUGGUUGCAGACUAUUUUUGUUACCUGCGCCGGUAGUUUGUGUCGUUGACUACCGAGUUUCACUCAGUGCCGUGCCAGUACCACAAAGACUGUAAAUCGCAAUCUAUUUGAUUCUUCCCUUUUUUUCUUUUUUUUUUUUUGUGUGUGUUGGGGUCGUAAUCGAAAAAAAGAAAAAAAAAUCCCGAGGCUACGACGACGAUCGACGCCGGCGACCGGGCCCCCCUUCUUCUUUUUUGUUGUUGUUGUUGUGACUGUCGUCUCAAUAAAAUAAAAAAAAAAAGAAGAAGAAAAUUGAGAGAAAGACCAAACUACAAAAAGACUAUAAUAAAUAAGAAAAAAAAGAAAAGAAAUAAUAAUAAGAGAAGAAACAAAAGCGAAGAAGAAGAAAAAAAAAAAUUUUUAAUAAAACGGACGACACGGAGAAAGGGAUUCAGCUGCGGAAGUUUGUUUCUAUUACCGAUGCAGGAUAUCAUUCAAAUGUGCAGCAGCUUUGAUGCCAGCAAGUCGACCAAGGGGGCCAGCAAGCUGCGGCGUGACCUGAUCAACACAGAGAUAGGCCACCUGCGUGACCUGCUUCCCUUGCCGGCCUCAACACGUCAACGUCUCUCUCAGCUACAGCUGAUGGCCUUAGUAUGUGUCUACGUCAGGAAGGCUAACUACUUCCAGCAAGUUUUCAAACGACACGACCUCGGCCAAAUGCCCACGCCCAGCAUCGGCUUCUCCAAGGCGAUGAACGGUUUCCUCAUGAUGAUGACACAAAACGGCAAGCUCCUCUACAUAUCCGACAACGCCGCCGAAUACCUCGGACACUCUAUGGAGGAUUUGCUGAUUCACGGCGACAGCGUGUACGAUAUCAUCGACAAGCAAGACCAUCAGAAUGUGCAAAACGAACUGGGACGACCGCCGGCCAGCGUGGCUGGACCUCACGCCGUUGUUACGCCCGCCGACGACGGCCGCAUUUUCCUAUGCCGCAUGAAUGUAUCGCGCAACGCUCGUAGGCAAAUGCGCUUCGGUGAUCAAAAGGUGAUCCUUGUCGAGGGCCACUUUGUGUCCUACCUGCCGCUGUGCACGCGCAACGAACCGGUGCUGAUCGCCACUUGCACGCCGGUCGCCAUGCCGGAGACCCGCGAGUGCGUCGUCCAGGGAGCCACCAACAUUUUUACAUCGGUUCAUAAUAUGGACAUGAAAUUCGCUUCCAUCGAUGCCAGUGGCGAAUUCUACCUGGGCUAUUCACGGCAAGAGCUGCUCGACGUGUCGUGGUACCAGCUCCUUCACUGGGAUUUCAUGAGAGAAGCCCAAUCCAAGCACAGAUUAAUCACCCAAUCGGAGCAAGAUCGAUCCUGCAUUCUGCUCGUGCGACUGCAGCGACGCAAUGGCACCUGGCUAUGGAUUCAUUGCGUUUUACAGGUUAAGGACGCAACCGAAGCUGGCCAACAACCCGUCAUUAUCUGUACGAAUCAGGUUCUCAGUGAAAGAGAAGCCCAGGUGAUGCGAGCCAACAGCUGGCUUUAUCAUUUCUAUCUGGUGCAGACGAAACUACAGUACGGCAUGAAUUAUGAGGGCCAGCCAGCGGCGCAGCAACAAGCCAGUACGUCCCGUUCGUCAGCUUCUGCCUCUUCGCCUGGCGGCGGUUAUGGGUACUCGCAUUUGAUGAAUAAUCCGAGUCCCGUGCCGUCGUCUUGCAGCGCGUCCGGUGACACGUCCAACACUCCACAGCCGGUCCAUUUUCAGCAGCAACAACAACAACAACAACAGGCACAGCAUCUCGUUCCUCCGCCCCUAACGUCCCCCCUGUACGUCCCCCCGCCACCUCCACACCACCACCACCACCACGCGCACAAUCAUUUGUACUCGUCGCCCGUGAUGGAUACAUAUCAGCAUUUUGCUUUGCAUCCGCAACAGCAGCAGCAACAGCAACAGCAUCAGCACCAUCAACAUCAACAUCAUCAUCAUCAUCAUCAACAACAGCAGCAACAGCAGCAGCAACAGCAUCACAUCCACCCGCAAAGCGGAUCUUCCAAUACGACAUCUGGCAAUGCGAGUAAUCCGCAUUUCGCCUUCGCUCCGUCGCCGAAUGCUGGACACCAUCAAACUUAUUCGGCCGUUGGAGGACCUUUCGCUCUCGGUCCGCAAGAGCCCAGCCCGUAUCAUUCCGGUCACCACCAACUGCAGCACAACAUCAAAACGGAAGCGUAUCUAUCGGAUAUCGGUGACCGGCCGGAAUUGGGAGGCUAUCACAUCAAAAUGGAAGCGAAAUCGGACGAAUUCCAGCAGGCGUCUGCGAUGGAUUCGACGGCAAUGGGAUCUGGCGUGUACGGAUCCAGCGCUGUCAAAGAGGAACCCGUAGUUAUCGAAUCGCCGGAAGAUCCGAUGAGCCCAGCGUCAUCGCCGCCGCGCAAACGGUACAGACUGAUGGCCGCCACCUUGCCCAGUUCCACUCCGCCGUCGGCGUUCCCUCCCAACGGAAGCGGAAGCGUCGGGGAGAAUCAACAGUUGCACCAGCAAACGCAUCCGCAACAGCAUCAACACCAGCAGAACGAUUGGCAUCGAAACCACCGCAACGAUCAUCAUCCGCAUUCCGGUUACGGCCAAUCGGUCUGGCCCAACGCCGGAUGGAUCAACACGAGUUAUCCGGUCGGAUUGGCCCAGCUGGAAGAGGCGGGCUACGAUAGCCCCGACAUGGCCUACGAUCGCGAUAGUUCCUUCUCGCCAUUGAUCGGAAUAUCCAUCGGAAGGGCAUCGUCUCCCUUAUCGGCCUCCUCGCCAUCCAACCACGCCCAGCAGCAGAGAAGAUUGUUGCUGCGCCGCAAGCAACACCAGCCGGCCUCCGCCAUGGAUUCGUCCGAUUGUUUACCGCACGGCCGCUACCAUGCGGCCGAGACGAUUCAACGCGUGUCGGAUGUCUCCAUCACGAUGCCUCCGGAAUUGUCGCCUCUGGGUUACGUCCUGACACCGGCGCCUACGCCGCCAGACGCCGAAGAAGCGCCUUCCGUUUCCUACCCCCAGAGCGGCAGCAUCGUUGAGAUGGAGCAGCGGGUGCCGGCCUCGUUGUCGUCGGAUCCGGAGGGGGCCCACAGCAGCAUGAGUUUCAUCAACGCGGCCAUUUUGAGUGGUCAGAACGACUUGGUUGAGAACCAAGCCAUCCUGCUCGUUCCGGCCAAUCGCCAUUAUGUGUAUCAUGCGGCCUCGUCCAGUGCGGCGUCUGGGGCGUCGGCAGCGUCGGCCGCGCCACCCGUCGAAACGGCGUGUGAUCCCACUCAUCCUACACCGUCGGCCGAUUACCAUACGCCGGCCACGCCUACCAGUAUGGAUUAUCCUAAGCCUUAAUUUGAGCGCGCUCAACGCGCGUUAAACGUCCAGCACGUUGUCGACUUUGCCUUGCAAUUAAAAAGAUCCUGAAACGAUACUCGCCGCCUGUUUGCAUGACGCAAUCAUCGACAUUCCUUCAUCUUUUCCUAAUCCAAAUUUAAGUAUGCAAAUGAUUUAAAAAAAAAAAUUAAUAAUAAUAAUAAUAUGAUGUUUGAAUAAUCUAUUAAAGAAAACAAACUCCCCGGUGAUGGUAUUUUGUUGCCAAUCUUGCUUUAUACGAUGAAAACCAAAUGGGAUUUCUAAUUAAUCUGCCAUUAUGAAUUUAUGUUCAUGUUCGUCUCAAUCUAUCUCCAUCGCUGUUAGUGCAAUAGUGUUAAUUCUCCAAUGCUGUAGCGGAUAGGAUUUUUUAAAAACAACAACAACAACAACAACAAAAAAAACAUCUUCGCAUAGCCACCUCUCCAAAAAGAAAAAAGAAAACAAAUCCCAUCACGUCUUCCUUCCGUACGUAAAUCAUGACAGCGAUCUCUUGAUGAAGGCGCCACCCCAUUUUUAUAGCCGUAACGGGGGAGAAAAAAUAAUAAGAAAUAGAAAAAAAAAAAAACUAGCCUCUACUCGAGCGGUUGUGGCCUUAUUCGACUGUAAAAGAUGUGAAGUGAAUCAUCUUUCAUCUCCACUUUGCCACUUUCUUUUUUUUUUUUGUUUGUUUGUCUUAUUUCCUCUUUUCGCAAAUUUAUCACACUUUUCCGUCCCUCCCGAAAAAAAAAACGGGGCCUCAAAUAUUUUUCAAUGAUUGCUAUGUAGCCCAUAUAUUAUCAGAGAUACAAAUAAAAAUAAAAACUAUGAUUUAAAACGA